This 741-nucleotide ribosomal RNA is filed under the name Aspergillus niger. RNAcentral describes it as "SSU rRNA". It matches the Rfam family "Eukaryotic small subunit ribosomal RNA", at positions 101 to 852 of the family's 1831-position model. The record is from RNAcentral. Lineage: Eukaryota; Fungi; Ascomycota; Eurotiomycetes; Eurotiales; Aspergillaceae.
UUAAAUCAGGUAUCGUUUAUUUGAUAGAACCUUACUACAUGGAUACCUGUGGUAAUUCUAGAGCUAAUACAUGCUGAAAACCUCGACUUCGGAAGGGGUGUAUUUAUUAGAUAAAAAACCAAUGCCCUUCGGGGCUCCUUGGUGAAUAAUAAUAACUUAACGAAUCGCAUGGCCUUGCGCCGGCGAUGGUUCAUUCAAAUUUCUGCCCUAUCAACUUUCGAUGGUAGGAUAGUGGCCUACCAUGGUGGCAACGGGUAACGGGGAAUUAGGGUUCGAUUCCGGAGAGGGAGCCUGAGAAACGGCUACCACAUCCAAGGAAGGCAGCAGGCGCGCAAAUUACCCAAUCCCGACACGGGGAGGUAGUGACAAUAAAUACUGAUACGGGGCUCUUUUGGGUCUCGUAAUUGGAAUGAGUACAAUCUAAAUCCCUUAACGAGGAACAAUUGGAGGGCAAGUCUGGUGCCAGCAGCCGCGGUAAUUCCAGCUCCAAUAGCGUAUAUUAAAGUUGUUGCAGUUAAAAAGCUCGUAGUUGAACCUUGGGUCUGGCUGGCCGGUCCGCCUCACCGCGAGUACUGGUCCGGCUGGACCUUUCCUUCUGGGGAAUCUCAUGGCCUUCACUGGCUGUGGGGGGAACCAGGACUUUUACUGUGAAAAAAUUAGAGUGUUCAAAGCAUGCCUUUGCUCGAAUACAUUAGCAUGGAAUAAUAGAAUAGGACGUGCGGUUCUAUUUUGUUGGUUUCU